Molecule: long non-coding RNA, 1760 nt
Organism: Heterocephalus glaber (naked mole-rat)
Lineage: Eukaryota; Metazoa; Chordata; Mammalia; Rodentia; Bathyergidae
Source: Ensembl
ACUCAGACCCCUGGUGCCAAGCACUCUGCGUCUUGGUGCCCAGGACCAAGUACGAGGGCCUUUGUCCCCCCCAGGAGCCCUGUGUGCUCCCCUCUGGGAGUGAGGAGUAGGCUCUGCCCUACGGAGAGUGACGGAGGCCCUUCCUGCUGGGGCCACUGUUUCCCACCGAGGUCCCGGGCACAGCAGAGGGGAGGGGCCAGGCCUGGGCAGGGUGCUGACGUGGAAGGAGGGGCCUCGUAAGCCCCAGGGUCCUGGGCCCCACCAGGCCCAGAAGGUGGACCAGAGGGCCCUGAGCAGUGAGCGGUGCUGCCUUGGACCAGGAGUUGGCUGUCCACAGUCUUGGCCAGGCUGCAUGCCAUGAACCCCCAAGGCCACCCCGCCCUCCACUUCUGCCUCUGGCUGUGGCUGGGUGCCAUCUCCACGCGUGGGCAGGGACAAGGAGGUGGCCGCCUGAGGCUGGCCGUGCUGCCCGGGACCGGCUGCAGAUGAAGUGGCGAGACCUGCAGGGCGCGGCGCUCGGCUAUCUGGUGCAGGUGAAGCCCAUGGCAGGUAAGGGGCCCGCCUGCCCCUCAGCCCCUCUGUGUGGUGGUCACUGUGCCAUGGGGACCAGCCGCUCCCACCACUGCCUGCAAGGCUCCACUGCAGGAUGCGGCUCUGUUAUCCUUUGUCUUUCUUUCAGAUUUUUAUGUUUAUCAGUGCAUGUUUGCAGUAUGUAAUAACUACACUCAUUUUGGGAAGUUAGUACAUGUAUGUAACGUAUCUUAACUCCUCAUCCCUUUCCCUCCUCUCCCUUCCUGUUUUCUCUUGGUCUCCUUCCCAUUUGCAAAGACCUAUUUCUAUGUUUCCUAUUAUCUAGCUUUUAUUUUGCUCUUUAAUUACUUGUGCAUUGGGUUUCUCAUAUAAGCAAACCCAUGCAAUAUUUAAGCUUGUGUGUCUGAUUUAUUUCACUUAACAUUACGGUCUCAAGGUGCAUCCAUUUCCCUACACAUGAUUCAGAUUUGUCCUUCUUUAUGGCAUCAUCCUGCACUGUGUGUGAAUAUACAUUUUCUUUGUCCAUUCAUCGAGUGGUGGACACAGGGGCCAUGUGCAUGACUGAGCUGUGUCCCUGGCAUGCGUGUGUCUCUGGAGUGUGAUGUCUGCAUCGGGGUGUCUUUGUCUCUGUGCUUCCUCCUGUCUCUGCCUUGCUCACUCUUGGAGGACCUGUGGGCCCACAGUACAUGCAGAGGGCGCUCAGGACAGAGGCUGUGAGGAAACAGUGCCUCCUGAGAGUCCCAGGGCCUCAGGGCUUCAGAGCAGCCUGGGCUCUGCACACACACGGCUCUGAGUUCUGUACAUGCACAACUCUGCACACACAUGGGCUCUGAGUUCUGCACACACAUGGGCUUUGCACACGCACAGCUCUGGACACACAUGAGCUUUGCACAUGCACAGCUCUGCACACACAUGGGCUCUGAGUUCUGCACACGCACAGCUCUGCACACACAUGGGCUUUGCACACGCACAGCUCUGCACAUGCAUGAUUGCACACACGGCUCUCUGCAUAUGCUUGGCUCUGCGCACGCAUGGGCUGGGCUGCAGAGCCCACAGUGCCAGCCCUGUGUUCCAGAGCUGGACCCUGAUGAGCCCAAGAGGCUUAGCCCCUCAGACCACAGGACACCACUAAUGUGCAUACUUUAUCAUCCUGUUAAAUACAUGGUGGAAUUGAUUUGCAGAUAUUUUGCCUAAGGUUUCUGUACUUAUGCUCACAGGGAAUAUUGGUC